This is a long non-coding RNA of Notolabrus celidotus (New Zealand spotty), 547 nucleotides long. RefSeq lists it as uncharacterized. The transcript has 4 exons. The record is from RefSeq and is a predicted model, not a curated record. NCBI's taxonomy places the organism in Eukaryota, Metazoa, Chordata, Actinopteri, Labriformes, Labridae.
GCUCCUCUGCCAGAAUUUGCUCUGCGCCAAACUCCGAUUUCAAGCUGCUCCAUUUCAAUUGCUCACAGCUACACUUCAAAAAAGGAAGAGCUCUGUUGUAUUUCAGCAUACCAAAUCAUCAUCAGUGUAAAAGAAUCUAAUUUCAUUCUCAGCAAGAAGGAAAAGAAGUACAUCUCCCAUCUUUCACUCUUCCUAAUAUUUUGCCAGUAGUGCUGUGGAACAUCCAGGUGCUCUUUCGCAAACUUCAAACGUGCAGCAAUAAGCAGUGACUUCUUCCAUGGUGUCCUCCCAUGAACUCAACAGAGAUGUUAGCAUGUGCCAGAGAUUUGUAUCAGGCUGGAGCUACACGAGGACAGUCGGUACCUUCACAGCUGUCCACAGGAGUGAGUCCCUCUCCUCUGUUGAUGGUCCAACACAUCUUUGUAGGGAUCCCGAGGUAUCCCAUCACACCCGUGUACAUCCGGUACCAGCUGGCCAGGACCACCUGUGGAGCAGAGACGGAUGACAAUCAGUGUGAAGCCUCUUUAAACAACAUGUUUGAAAGGUC